This is a non-coding RNA of Oryza nivara, 309 nucleotides long. The record is from Rfam. NCBI's taxonomy places the organism in Eukaryota, Viridiplantae, Streptophyta, Magnoliopsida, Poales, Poaceae.
GCCGAGCCAAGUAGCGAUGGCUUGUCACCCGAGCGGGGGCAAUAAGGUGGUGCGGAUGCCUGGUCGUUUGCGCUUUGGCCUGGGCCUGUGGUUCGCUCUAUGCGGCCCGCCCGUUCCAAGUUGCGUAGCGUGUAUGGGGCGCCCUGGCGAAAGCUAGAGCGUCCCUGCACCUAGAGUGGCGGGUAUUGCGUGAGGCUGGUUUCACAGAGCAGCGAGUACCGCCCGCUUCCAACGGUGGAAGGAUAACGGGCCGCUGCAGCCCUGGCCCGCUUCCGGCCCAUGUGCCUUCCAUGGCAGACCCCCAUCUUU